This 658-nucleotide ribosomal RNA is filed under the name Fellhaneropsis myrtillicola. RNAcentral's name for it is "SSU rRNA". It matches the Rfam family "Bacterial small subunit ribosomal RNA", at positions 413 to 1201 of the family's 1533-position model. The record is from RNAcentral. Lineage: Eukaryota; Fungi; Ascomycota; Lecanoromycetes; Lecanorales; Pilocarpaceae.
AAUAAUUAUUACAAAAAUCGAUUAACUCGAAUAAAAUUCUAGAUAGAAUUAUGAUAAUGACAUUGUCUAUCUACGUGUCUUGACCAUUCUACGUGCCAGCAGUCGCGGUAAUACGUGGGAGGCUAGUGUUAUUCAUCUUGAAUGGGUUUAAAGCGUUCCUAGACGGUUAAUUAAGGCUUUUAUACUGGAAGGUUAUUAGUAAACUGUUGCACGGCACAGGUAAUGGCGAAAGCAUCAUCUUAUGUAAUAACUGACGUUGAAGGACGAAGGCUCUCUAAUAACAAAAAGGAUUAGGUACCCAAGUGAGUUUGGAGCAGAAAAUUAUGAAUGUCAUAGAUUAGAUGUAAAUUUGGUCUAUAAAUGAAAGUGUAAGCAUUCCACCUCAAGAGUAAUUUGGCAACAUUGGAACUGAAAUCAUUAGUCCGUUUCUGAUACAAGUAGUGAAGUAUGUUGUUUAAUUUGAUAAUCCGCAAAAAACCUUACCACAACUUGAAUAUAAAAUUUAUAUUUUUUACAAGUGUUGCACGGCUGUUUUAAGUUAAUAUCGUGAGAUUUUGGUACUUCCAACAAUUAACGUAAACCCUUACUUUAUUUUUAUUUAGAGUACCACUCGAUUAAUAGGGUGGGUAAUAGGGACUAAGACAAGUCAUCAUGACUA